This 254-nucleotide ribosomal RNA is filed under the name uncultured bacterium. RNAcentral describes it as "partial 16S ribosomal RNA". It matches the Rfam family "Bacterial small subunit ribosomal RNA", at positions 524 to 776 of the family's 1533-position model. The record is from RNAcentral.
UACGGGGGGAGCAAGCGUUGUUCGGAUUUACGGGGCGUAAAGGGCGCGUAGGCGGCCACCGCAAGUGGACGGUGAAAUCUCCGGGCUUAACCCGGAAAGGUCAGCCGAUACUGCGGGGCUAGAGUGCAGAAGGGGCAACUGGAAUUCUCGGUGUAGCGGUGAAAUGCGUAGAUAUCGAGAGGAACACCUGCGGCGAAGGCAGGUCUCUGGGCCACUACUGACGCUGAGAAGCGAAAGCAUGGGGAGCGAACAGG